Molecule: long non-coding RNA, 349 nt
Filed under: Malus domestica (apple)
Lineage: Eukaryota; Viridiplantae; Streptophyta; Magnoliopsida; Rosales; Rosaceae
Description: long non-coding RNA (MDOM_LNC007732)
Source: RNAcentral
AAUUGCUUGGCCUUUUACUGCCCUUUGGGGGACAUACUGAAAGCUGAAUUCUGAUAAUGCUAGAAUCCACUUCCCAAUCCUUCCUGUUAACAUUGGCUUUGACAACAUGUAUUUUAUCACAUCUGUCUUGGCGAUGAUGUGUACGUGACAAGGUAACAUGUAAUGCCUCAGCUUAUUGGCAGUAAAAUACAGAGCAAGCACAAUCUCUUUACCAGGGAAUACCUUGUUUCUACCUCGGUCAGAAUUCUACUGAGGUAGUACACUGCCUGCUCUUUUCCUCCUUCAUUAUUCUGAGCUAGCAAACUCCCAAUUGAUUUAUCUGAAGCGGAGAUAUAUAGCUUUAAGGGGU